UCAAAACGACUAUCGGCAACGGAUAUCUCGGCUCUCGCAUCGAUGAAGAACGUAGCAAAACGCGAUAUUUGGUGUGAAUUGCAGAAUCCCGUGAACCAUCGAGUUUUUGAACGCAAGUUGCGCCCGAAGCCAUUAGGCCGAGGGCACGUCUGCAUGGGCGUCAC
This 164-nucleotide ribosomal RNA is filed under the name Ourisia cockayneana. Its description in RNAcentral is "5.8S ribosomal RNA". It matches the Rfam family "5.8S ribosomal RNA". From Rfam's summary of the family: 5.8S ribosomal RNA (5.8S rRNA) is a component of the large subunit of the eukaryotic ribosome. It is transcribed by RNA polymerase I as part of the 45S precursor that also contains 18S and 28S rRNA. Functionally, it is thought that 5.8S rRNA may be involved in ribosome translocation. The record is from RNAcentral. Lineage: Eukaryota; Viridiplantae; Streptophyta; Magnoliopsida; Lamiales; Plantaginaceae.